RNAcentral lists this ribosomal RNA (346 nucleotides) under Dikerogammarus haemobaphes. RNAcentral describes it as "partial 16S ribosomal RNA". The record is from RNAcentral. Lineage: Eukaryota; Metazoa; Arthropoda; Malacostraca; Amphipoda; Gammaridae.
CGGUAUUUUGACCGUGCUAAGGUAGCAUAAUCAAUUGUUUUUUAAUUGAAAACUAGUAUGAACGGUUUAAUUUACUUAAUUAGUUUGUAAUUUUUAAUAGUAAGUUAAAUAUAAAGUAAGAAUUCUUUAAUAAAUUAGGGGACGAUAAGACCCUAAAAGCUUUAUGAUUGGCAUUUAAUUAGUGAUAGCGGUGUUAUUAAUUCACUGGGGCAGUGAGUUUAGGUAUAUUUAAGUAUAAUUAAAAGCUCCUUUAAAUAAAGAUUUCAUGUAUAAGUUACUUUAGGGAUAACAGUGCAAUAUAUUUGGGGAGACCAUAUCUAUAAAUAUGAUUGCAACCUCGAUGUUG